This 84-nucleotide small nuclear RNA is filed under the name Dothistroma septosporum NZE10. RNAcentral's name for it is "U4 spliceosomal RNA". It matches the Rfam family "U4 spliceosomal RNA", at positions 1 to 82 of the family's 138-position model. From Rfam's summary of the family: U4 small nuclear RNA (U4 snRNA) is a component of the major U2-dependent spliceosome. The structure of U4 snRNA from yeast and human has been reported. U4 snRNA presents a k-turn RNA motif in the 5p-SL related to recognition of Snu13 protein. Lineage: Eukaryota; Fungi; Ascomycota; Dothideomycetes; Mycosphaerellales; Mycosphaerellaceae. The record is from RNAcentral.
AUCAUUCUAGCAAGGGCAUUACGCAUAUCAGUGAGGAUUCGUCCGAGAUUGCGUUUUUGCUAGUUGAAAACUAUCAACAGACCG